CGGGGGGCAGCAGCAAGGAAUAUUGUGCAAUGGGCGAAAGCCUGACACAGCGACGCUGCGUGAGGGAAGAAGGCCUUCGGGUUGUAAACCCCUUUUCUCAGGGAAGAAUAAUGACGGUACCUGAGGAAUAAGUCACGGCUAACUACGUGCCAGCAGCCGCGGUAAUACGUAGGUGGCAAGCGUUAUCCGGAUUUACUGGGUGUAAAGAGGGUGCGGGCGGCUUUUCAAGUCGAAUAUAAAAUCUCCUGACUUAAUUGGGAGGGACUAUUCGAUACUGUUGGGCUAGAGGGCAGCAGGGGGAGGUGGAAUUCCCGGUGUAGUGGUGAAAUGCGUAGAUAUCGGGAGGAACACCUGUGGCGAAGGCGGCCUCCUGGGCUGUUGCUGACGCUGAGGCCCGAAAGCGUGGGGAGCAAACAGGAUUAGAUACCCCGGUAGUC
This 437-nucleotide ribosomal RNA is filed under the name uncultured Dehalococcoidia bacterium. RNAcentral describes it as "bacterial SSU rRNA". It matches the Rfam family "Bacterial small subunit ribosomal RNA", at positions 342 to 795 of the family's 1533-position model. Lineage: Bacteria; Bacillati; Chloroflexota; Dehalococcoidia. The record is from RNAcentral.